Molecule: ribosomal RNA, 461 nt
Filed under: Citrobacter freundii
Lineage: Bacteria; Pseudomonadati; Pseudomonadota; Gammaproteobacteria; Enterobacterales; Enterobacteriaceae
Description: bacterial SSU rRNA
Rfam family: Bacterial small subunit ribosomal RNA
Source: RNAcentral
CGUGUUGUGAAAUGUUGGGUUAAGUCCCGCAACGAGCGCAACCCUUAUCCUUUGUUGCCAGCGGUUAGGCCGGGAACUCAAAGGAGACUGCCAGUGAUAAACUGGAGGAAGGUGGGGAUGACGUCAAGUCAUCAUGGCCCUUACGAGUAGGGCUACACACGUGCUACAAUGGCAUAUACAAAGAGAAGCGACCUCGCGAGAGCAAGCGGACCUCAUAAAGUAUGUCGUAGUCCGGAUUGGAGUCUGCAACUCGACUCCAUGAAGUCGGAAUCGCUAGUAAUCGUGGAUCAGAAUGCCACGGUGAAUACGUUCCCGGGCCUUGUACACACCGCCCGUCACACCAUGGGAGUGGGUUGCAAAAGAAGUAGGUAGCUUAACCUUCGGGAGGGCGCUUACCACUUUGUGAUUCAUGACUGGGGUGAAGUCGUAACAAGGUAACCGUAGGGGAACCUGCGGUUGGA